CAAGAAGAGACCCUAACCGGUCCUCUCAACCCUGCCCAUCGUACCUUUUUUGUUUGUUCCCUCGGCGGUGCUCGCGGGCCCGCCGGCGGGAAGACCAAACAAACCCUUUGCAAACAAGCAUAUCGAAUCUCUGAUCAAACAUGAAUUGUCA
Molecule: unclassified non-coding RNA, 151 nt
Filed under: soil metagenome
Description: partial internal transcribed spacer 1
Source: RNAcentral